AUUGAACGCUGGCGGCAGGCCUAACACAUGCAAGUCGAGCGGAUGAAGGGAGCUUGCUCCUGGAUUCGGCGGCGGACGGGUGAGUAAUGCCUAGGAAUCUGCCUGGUAGUGGGGGAUAACGUCCGGAAACGGGCGCUAAUACCGCAUACGUUCUGAGGGAGAAAGUGGGGGAUCUUCGGACCUCACGCUAUCAGAUGAGCCUAGGUCGGAUUAGCUAGUUGGUGGGGUAAAGGCCUACCAAGGCGACGAUCCGUAACUGGUCUGAGAGGAUGAUCAGUCACACUGGAACUGGGACACGGUCCAGACUCCUACGGGAGGCAGCAGUGGGGAAUAUUGGACAAUGGGCGAAAGCCUGAUCCAGCCAUGCCGCGUGUGUGAGGAAGGUCUUCGGAUUGUAAAGCACGUUAAGUGGGGAGGAAGGGCAGUAAGUUAAUACCUUGCUGUUUUGACGUUACCAACAGAAUAAGCACCGGCUAACUACGUG
Molecule: ribosomal RNA, 484 nt
Filed under: uncultured bacterium
Lineage: Bacteria
Description: partial 16S ribosomal RNA
Rfam family: Bacterial small subunit ribosomal RNA
Source: RNAcentral